RNAcentral lists this ribosomal RNA (253 nucleotides) under uncultured bacterium. Its description in RNAcentral is "partial 16S ribosomal RNA". It matches the Rfam family "Bacterial small subunit ribosomal RNA", at positions 524 to 776 of the family's 1533-position model. The record is from RNAcentral.
UACGUAGGGGGCUAGCGUUGUCCGGAAUCAUUGGGCGUAAAGCGCGCGUAGGCGGCCCGGUAAGUCCGCUGUAAAAGUCAAAGGCUCAACCUUUGAAUGUAAGUGGAUACUGCCGGGCUAGAGUCCGGAAGAGGCGAGUGGAACUCCUGGUGUAGCGGUGGAAUGCGCAGAUAUCAGGAAGAACACCAACGGCGAAGGCAGCUCGCUGGGACGGUACUGACGCUGAGACGCGAAAGCGUGGGGAGCGAACAGG